Molecule: long non-coding RNA, 1063 nt
Filed under: Gallus gallus (chicken)
Lineage: Eukaryota; Metazoa; Chordata; Aves; Galliformes; Phasianidae
Description: lncRNA (ENSGALG00010006876.1)
Source: RNAcentral
CUGACUGUGAUUAAACCUAGGAGCAGCUCCAUUGACCUACUACUUGACUCAGAAGAAAGAGAAUGGGAAGUGACAGUUUGGGCUACCAUGUCCAGCUCCCAGCUAGCAAAGGCCCUGAUACCAUAUUAAUAUGCUUGCUGGGAGGAAUUAAGCUCACGCUAGUCCCUUCUGCCUGUUCCAGAGCCCCCUCCCUAUGAUGCUCAGAAAUCUUCCUCUCACAUGCAGCUGAAAUUUAUUCAUGGCCUGCUUAGACUCAUUUGUUCCUGUGCCAACAUUGUCCUUUGGCUUAAAUUGCUCUCCUCCCUCCCUGGUGUUUAUCCUCCCGAUGUAUUUAUAGAUAGCAAUCAGAUCCCCUCUCAGCUUUCAUUUUGCUAGGCUAAACAAGCCAAACUUUUCCCAGUCUCCUCUCAUAAGACAGCCACUCUAUUCCCCUGUUAUCCUCACACCCUCUAGAAAGUCAUGUACAACAUUCAUGGCCAUGCAAGUGGUAAAACUAAGCAGGACUUUUAACUCCACAAGUCCAGUGACUCACACUGCAGACACCUACACACAUUCCUCCGAUGUUUUGGAAAUGCCUCUGGUGGCCACUUGUCCACAGAAAAUGAGAGCACCUCUCCACCUCUAUGCUCUUGAACAAAAGUAAGGUCUGAUCCGCCUAUAGGGAAAAGAGGUUGCUCCAGCUCACCACCAAGGCCAACCAAAGGAGCAAGGACAUCAGCUGCAAGGAGUACAAGCACUAGGGACUGUGAGUGAGGGAAAGGUGGUCAGCAUCAGGCCCUGGAGCUUGUUCAGAGAAGGGCGGCUAAGCUAGUGAGGGGUCUGGAGCACAAGUCUGAUGAGGAGUGGCUGAGGAAGCUGGGAUUGUUCAGUCUGGAGAAGAAGAGGCUCAGGGGUGACCUUAUCACUCUCUACAACUACCUGAAAGGAGGUUGUGGAGAGGUGGGGUUGGCUUCUUCUCCCAUGUAACUGAGGGAAUGGCCUCAAGUUGCGCCAGGGGACCUGCUCCAUAGUCCUCCCAGGCACGGAUGUGAGGCUCACCAGCCUGUAGUUUCCUAGGUCUUCC